RNAcentral lists this ribosomal RNA (497 nucleotides) under uncultured bacterium. Its description in RNAcentral is "partial 16S ribosomal RNA". It matches the Rfam family "Bacterial small subunit ribosomal RNA", at positions 28 to 507 of the family's 1533-position model. The record is from RNAcentral.
GAUGAACGCUGGCGGCGUGCCUAAUACAUGCAAGUCGAGCGAACGGACGAGAAGCUUGCUUUUCUGAUGUUAGCGGCGGACGGGUGAGUAACACGUGGAUAACCUACCUAUAAGACUGGGAUAACUUCGGGAAACCGGAGCUAAUACCGGAUAAUAUUUUGAACCGCAUGGUUCAAAAGUGAAAGACGGUCUUGCUGUCACUUAUAGAUGGAUCCGCGCUGCAUUAGCUAGUUGGUAAGGUAACGGCUUACCAAGGCAACGAUGGAUAGCCGACCUGAGAGGGUGAUCGGCCACACUGGAACUGAGACACGGUCCAGACUCCUACGGGAGGCAGCAGUAGGGAAUCUUCCGCAAUGGGCGAAAGCCUGACGGAGCAACGCCGCGUGAGUGAUGAAGGUCUUCGGAUCGUAAAACUCUGUUAUUAGGGAAGAACAUAUGUGUAAGUAACUGUGCACAUCUUGACGGUACCUAAUCAGAAAGCCACGGCUAACUACGUG